UGAGGUUGUGCCUUGAAGUGUGAGUGCUUGUUGUGCUAAGGUUGACAGAGAGGGCUGGAUUGGAUGGUGCUUCUGCUUCUUCCUGCUAAUGUCAUGGACUGUACCCAGGAAUGCAUCUUUCUCCUGAGCCUCACUCCUGUGCAUUGUGAAACCCCUGGUGGCUGGGUGAUGGAGAGCUGCAUGAAGAACACCCUCUAUGUUGGAGCAGCUGGGAGCCUCAGCUUUCCACUGCAGUUCCAUAUGAGACAUCCCUUGACUCUGUUGACCCCACACCUCAGAGUUCUUCAGGUACACACAGCACUUCACCCCUCUGGGAUCUCGAUCCAGCCCAGUGUGGGGCUUUGGGGGUGUUGAAGUUGGAUGCUUCGAGGGAUGGAAAUUAUAGGGGAGGGGGUUGAGUCUGGGGACAAAGGGAGGAAAAUGAGAGGGGCCCUCUGAAUGCUAUCUCCUGGAGGAACUGGAGUGUGCCCAGAAACAAUAAAUGUCCGGUGAUGAUUUGAUGUGAGUUAAGA
This 512-nucleotide long non-coding RNA is filed under the name Coturnix japonica (Japanese quail). Its description in RNAcentral is "lncRNA (ENSCJPG00005020914.1)". Lineage: Eukaryota; Metazoa; Chordata; Aves; Galliformes; Phasianidae. The record is from RNAcentral.